UGGGGAAUUUUGGACAAUGGGCGAAAGCCUGAUCCAGCAAUGCCGCGUGUGUGAAGAAGGCCUUCGGGUUGUAAAGCACUUUUGUCCGGAAAGAAAUCCUUGGCUCUAAUACAGUCGGGGGAUGACGGUACCGGAAGAAUAAGCACCGGCUAACUACGUGCCAGCAGCCGCGGUAAUACGUAGGGUGCAAGCGUUAAUCGGAAUUACUGGGCGUAAAGCGUGCGCAGGCGGUUUGCUAAGACCGAUGUGAAAUCCCCGGGGCUCAACCUGGGAACUGCAUUGGUGACUGGCAGGCUAGAGUAUGGCAGAGGGGGGUAGAAUUCCACGUGUAGCAGUGAAAUGCGUAGAGAUGUGGAGGAAUACCGAUGGCGAAGGCAGCCCCCUGGGCCAAUACUGACGCUCAUGCACGAAAGCGUGGGGGAGCAAAACAGGAUUAGAUACCCUGGUAGUCCACGCCCUAAACGAUGUCAACUAGUUGUUGGGGAUUCAUUUCCUUAGUAACGUAGCUAACGCGUGAAGUUGACCGCCUGGGGGAGUACGGUCGCAAGAUUAAAACUCAAAGGAAUUGACGGGGUCAUAGCUGUUUCCU
Molecule: ribosomal RNA, 589 nt
Filed under: uncultured bacterium
Lineage: Bacteria
Description: partial 16S ribosomal RNA
Rfam family: Bacterial small subunit ribosomal RNA
Source: RNAcentral